GACGAACGCUGGCGGUGUGCUUAACACAUGCAAGUCGAACGGAAAGGCCCUGCUUUUGUGGGGUGCUCGAGUGGCGAACGGGUGAGUAACACGUGAGUAACCUGCCCUUGACUUUGGGAUAACUUCAGGAAACUGGGGCUAAUACCGGAUAGGAGCUCCUGCUGCAUGGUGGGGGUUGGAAAGUUUCGGCGGUUGGGGAUGGACUCGCGGCUUAUCAGCUUGUUGGUGGGGUAGUGGCUUACCAAGGCUUUGACGGGUAGCCGGCCUGAGAGGGUGACCGGCAACAUGGGGCUGGGGAUAGGCCCAGACUCCUACGGGGGGCAAGAGUGGGGGAAAAUGCACAAUGGGCGGAAGCCUGAUGCAGCAACGCCGCGUGCGGGAUGACGGCCUUCGGGUUGUAAACCGCUUUCGCCUGUGACGAAGCGUGAGUGACGGUAAUGGGUAAAGAAGCACCGGCUAACUACGUG
This 467-nucleotide ribosomal RNA is filed under the name uncultured bacterium. Its description in RNAcentral is "partial 16S ribosomal RNA". It matches the Rfam family "Bacterial small subunit ribosomal RNA", at positions 28 to 507 of the family's 1533-position model. The record is from RNAcentral.